GGCAUGAUACUGUACUUGCUCUUUCUUCGAAUCCGUUGGGCCAAGGAAAUCUAAAUCCAGGCCUUCUGUAUAUAUACACAGUAUACUGGCAUUCAGAUUUCGAGCUACAACUUUUCUUACUUUCCAGUAUCCUCUACUGCUUGAACCCGAGAUUUAACGUCUGAUUCGGACAUUGGAUCCCGAAUUGAUCCACAUUGUUUGUAUACGCUUGGGAAAAUCCAUUGAGACUCUGUUGGAAGUAACUCGAUUGGUCAAUCCGUUGAUUUCUUUUCCCGCUUUCAACUUCUUCGUCUAGAUUAAUACUUUCAACCUUUGUGUUGCCUCGGAAAUUUGGAGGAUGGGCGUAAACAUCGUUGAGAAAAUUCAUAUUGUUGUUGUCGCUGUGAAUGUGGUUAUUGACAUGCCCCUGAGCCUGACCCUGAACGCCUGGAGCUUGAUUUGC
RNAcentral lists this unclassified non-coding RNA (442 nucleotides) under Hevea brasiliensis (rubber tree). The record is from RNAcentral. Lineage: Eukaryota; Viridiplantae; Streptophyta; Magnoliopsida; Malpighiales; Euphorbiaceae.